Molecule: non-coding RNA, 32 nt
Filed under: Salsuginibacillus kocurii DSM 18087
Lineage: Bacteria; Bacillati; Bacillota; Bacilli; Caryophanales; Bacillaceae
Description: L31-Firmicutes ribosomal protein leader
Rfam family: L31-Firmicutes ribosomal protein leader
Source: RNAcentral
CUCUGUUUCUAGAGGAUUCAGGGCAGAAGGAG